This is an RNA transcript of Salvia miltiorrhiza (redroot sage), 3760 nucleotides long. It is a transcript of the gene named insulin-degrading enzyme-like 1, peroxisomal, with no coding region annotated. The transcript has 27 exons. NCBI's taxonomy places the organism in Eukaryota, Viridiplantae, Streptophyta, Magnoliopsida, Lamiales, Lamiaceae. The record is from RefSeq and is a predicted model, not a curated record.
AACAUUUUGUGCACAGCAUUCACAUUUUUGUUUCUUCAUCAAAGUCUUCCUCGUCGCUGCAACAAGUCAAUCUCCACACACACAAAAUAUCUCUCUCAAUAUACAUCCGUUUGUAUAUGUAAUUCAGUGAUUGCAAUCGACUGAAUUUGCACAAUUGGAGAGGGAAAGCAUGGCGUUGGGAGUAAUGAAACAGGAUGCUGAGAUAAUCAAGCCGCGCAAUGAUAAAAGAGAGUAUCGAAGGAUUGUUCUGCAAAACAAUCUCCAAGUUCUCCUCAUCAGCGAUGCCGAAACUGAUAAAUGUGCUGCUUCAAUGGAUGUUCGCGUCGGUUCUUUCAGUGAUCCUGAGGGACUCGAAGGCCUCGCGCAUUUUCUUGAACACAUGCUUUUCUAUGCUAGCGAAAAGUAUCCACAGGAAGACAGUUACUCAAAGUACAUCAGUGAGCAUGGAGGCAGCACAAAUGCUUUCACGUCAUCUGAACACACCAACUAUUACUUUGAUGUCAACCCUGACUCCUUUGAAGAAGCACUAGACAGAUUUGCUCAGUUUUUCAUAAAACCACUGAUGUCGGCUGAUGCAACUACGAGGGAAAUAAAAGCAGUUGAUUCUGAGAAUCAGAAAAAUUUGCUAUCUGAUGUCUGGCGGAUGAAUCAGCUUCAGAAACAUUUGAGCCUGAAAGACCACCCGUACCACAAGUUCAGUACAGGAAAUUGGGAUACUUUGGAAGUCCGGCCAAAGGAAAGAGGAUUGGAUACUAGACAAGAGCUUCUGAAGUUCUAUAAUGAAAAUUAUUCGGCCAAUCUCAUGCAUCUUGUGAUAUAUACUAAAGAUGGCCUCUAUAAAUGUGAAAGCCUUGUGCGGAGCUAUUUUGAGGAUAUCCGAAAUACAAAUAAAAACUUUAUCAGUUUCCCCGGCCAGCCUUGUGAUUCAGAAAGCCUUCAGAUUCUUGUAAAAGCCGUCCCAAUUAAGCAAGGUCACAAGUUGAAAUUUGUAUGGCCAAUAACACCUGGAAUUCGUCAUUACAAUGAAGGGCCAAGCCGGUAUCUAGGUCACUUGAUUGGCCAUGAAGGAGAAGGAUCUUUGUUUUACAUCUUGAAAAAACUGGGUUGGGCUACAAGUUUAUCUGCUGGUGAAUCAGAUUGGACUAAUGAGUUUUCUUUCUUUAGAGUCAGUAUUGAUCUAACAGAUGCUGGCCAAGAACAUUUUGAAGAUAUUGUGGCUCUAUUGUUUAAAUAUAUUCAACUUCUCCAGCAAUCUGGACCCUGUCAAUGGAUUUUUGAUGAGCUUGCAGCCAUUUGCGAAACUUCCUUUCACUAUCAAGACAAGAUUCGUCCCAUUGAUUAUGUGGUUAAUGUUGCAAUUAAUAUGCAGUUUUACCCUCCUAAAGAUUGGCUGGUUGGAUCAUCUUUGCCUUCAAAGUUCAAUUCUGAGGUCAUUCAGUCAGCAUUGAAAGAGCUCAGUCCAUUCAAUGUGAGAAUAUUUUGGGAGUCAACGAAGUUUGAGGGACUUGCAGAUUCAAAAGAGCCUUGGUAUAGUACGGCUUAUUCUGUUGAGCGAUUAACUGGCUCCAAAAUUGAGCAAUGGGCUGAUAAAGCUCCUGGUGAAGAUCUGCAUCUACCUGUCCCAAAUGUGUUUAUUCCUACAGAUCUAUCCCUUAAGACUGUCUCGGAGGAAAUGACAUUACCAGUUUUGUUGAGGAAGACACCUUACUCAAGGUUGUGGUACAAGCCAGAUACAUCAUUUUCAACUCCCAAGGCAUAUGUCAAGAUAGAUUUCAAUUGUCCCUUUUCUGGAAGUUCUCCUGAAUCAGAAGUCCUCACUGAAAUAUUUACGCGUUUACUGAUGGACUACUUAAAUGAAUAUGCAUACGAUGCACAGGUUGCUGGUCUUUAUUAUUCAGUUAGCAACACUGACUUUGGUUUCCAGGUCACUGUGGUUGGAUAUAAUCACAAGCUGUCGAUCUUACUGGAGACAGUAAUACAACGAAUUGCGAAUUUUGAAGUUAAACCGGACAGAUUUGCUGUAAUUAAGGAAUUGGUCACAAAAGAGUAUCAGAAUAUGAAGUUUCAACAGCCAUAUCAGCAAGCUAUGUACUACUGUUCGUUAAUACUACAAGACCAAACAUGGCCUUGGACUGAGGAACUUGAAGUUCUACCUCACCUUGAAGUCGAGCAUCUUGUGAAAUUUUUCCCUUUAAUGAUAUCAAGGAUCUUCUUGGAAUGCUUUGCUGCAGGAAAUCUUGAGCCAAAAGAAGCAGAGUCCAUGAUCCAGCAUAUAGAAGAUGUGUUCUUUGAGGGUUCCAAUCCCGUAUCUCAGCCUCUGUUUUCAUCUCAAUACAUGACAAAUAGAGUUGUGAAGCUUGAGAGGGGAAUAAAUUACUUCUACAGCACGGAAGGCCUAAAUCCUAGUGAUGAGAAUUCUGCACUUGUCCAUUACAUUCAGGUGCACCAGGAUGAUUUCAAGCUAAAUGUCACACUUCAACUUUUUGCCGUGAUUGCAAAGCAACCUGCAUUUCACCAGCUUAGAUCAGUCGAGCAGCUUGGUUAUAUUACUGUGCUUAUGCAGAGGAAUGACUCUGGUGUCCGAGGUGUACAAUUCAUUAUCCAAUCAAAUGUCAAGGGUCCUGGUCAAAUUGAUCUGAGAGUUGAGUCGUUUCUCAAGGUGUUUGAAACUAAGCUCUAUGAAAUGCCCAGCGAUGAAUUUAAGAGCAACGUUAAUGCACUUAUUGAAAUGAAGCUGGAGAAGCACAAAAACCUACGAGAAGAAUCUGGAUUCUACUGGCGAGAAGUAUCUGAUGGCACCUUUAAAUUCGACAGGAGAGAACGCGAGGUAGCAGCACUAAGGCAAUUAACUCAAAAGGACUUGAUAGAUUUCUUCAACGAGUACAUUAAAGUCGGUGCUCCCCUCAAGAAGGGUUUGAGCGUACGCGUAUAUGGGAGCGCACAUUCUUCAGAGUACCAUACAGACAAAACCCAACCUGCUGAAUCCAGCGUUGUUCCAAUAGAAGAUAUCUUUAGUUUCAGAAGAUCACGACCUCUGUAUGGCUCGUUCAAAGGAGGCUUUGGUCACUUGAAGCUUUAAGAUUGCGAAACUCUGUGUAGGAUCAGAAGUAGAACUCUUCCUAUAGCCAUUUUCUGUACAAUCAAGUGGAUAAAACGGAAUAGAGGUGUAACGAUGAGGAGUUGGUGCCAUCUUUGUGGUCGAUAAGCAUCUCCAUACGUCCAGAGCUUUCUUCUUCAGAUGGCUUUACGUAUGCACAGAGCUAAAGAACACAUGAUUUGAGCUGCCACUACUGCUGACUACUAGCAUUGAUCCUUGAAGCCCAUCACGGUGUCGGGCGUGGUGGUUGAGCUGCCGCUGGUGUAGGUCAUCAGUGGCGGUGGAUUGUGGUGGAGCUGCUGCUGCUGGUGGCUGUCAGAGGCGGUGGCGGGUGGAGGGUGGUAGUACAUCCGAGCGGUUUGAGGGCAAUGGGAAUGAAAUCUAGCUGCUAUUCUCACUCCUAUAUCCAACAUUUCCACAUAUUUCCCCAUUAUCAAAGACUUCAAAAAAAGUUCCCUACGCAGUGUGUAUACAGAUAGCUUAAUGUUGCCCCGCUUCACCUAAUAUGGGUGUAUAUAUAGAUGUGGAUACAGCUGGUUUAUGGGUAUUUGAGCUCAAGUUUUUGGCCUAAUGAAGUAGUGAAGGGUUGACAAUGACUAAUGACUUUGUCAAAUAUGGCUUUUGUUAUGGAACUAGAUGUAUAAACAUAGUUGUGUUGGUCAA